This 497-nucleotide ribosomal RNA is filed under the name uncultured bacterium. Its description in RNAcentral is "partial 16S ribosomal RNA". It matches the Rfam family "Bacterial small subunit ribosomal RNA", at positions 28 to 507 of the family's 1533-position model. The record is from RNAcentral.
GAUGAACGCUGGCGGCGUGCCUAAUACAUGCAAGUCGAGCGAACGGACGAGAAGCUUGCAUCACUGAUAUUAGCGGCGGACGGGUGAGUAACACGUGGAGAACCUACCUAUAAGACUGGGAUAACUUCUGGAAACCGGAGCUAAUACCGGAUAAUAUUUUUAACCGCAUGGUUCAAAAUUGAAAGACGCUCUUGCUUUCACUUAAGGAUAGAUCCGCUUUUCAUUAGCUAGUUGGUAAGGUAACGGCUUACCAAGGCAACGUAGCAUAGCCGCCCUGGGAGGUUGACGGCCAACACUGGACCUGAGCACGGGUCCAGACUCUACCGGGGGCAAGAAUAAGGGAAUCUUCGCCAUUGAGCGAAAGCCUGACGGAGCAACGCCGGGUGAGUGAUGAAGGUUUUCGGAUCGUAAACCUUUGUUAUAAGGGAAGACGAUAGGUGUAAGUAACUGCUCACAUAUUGACGGUAACUACUCAGAAAGGGACGGCUAACUACGUG